GUGAGGAAUAUUGCGCAAUGGAGGCAACUCUGACGCAGCCAUGCCGCGUGCAGGAAGAAGGCGCUACGCGUUGUAAACUGCUUUUAACCGGGAAGAAACCCCAGGACGUGUCCUGGGUUGACGGUACCGGAGGAAUCAGCACCGGCUAACUUCGUGCCAGCAGCCGCGGUAAUACGAAGGGUGCAAGCGUUAUCCGGAUUCAUUGGGUUUAAAGGGUGCGUAGGCGGAGCGUUAAGUCAGUGGUGAAAUCCUGCAGCUUAACUGUAGACUUGCCAUUGAUACUGGCGCUCUUGAGUGCGCUGGAAGUGGGCGGAAUGUGCCGUGUAGCGGUGAAAUGCUUAGAUAUGGCACAGAACACCAAUUGCGAAGGCAGCUCACUAAGGCGAUACUGACGCUGAGGCACGAAAGCGUGGGGAUCGAACAGGAUUAGAUACCCGUGUAGUCC
RNAcentral lists this ribosomal RNA (445 nucleotides) under uncultured bacterium. RNAcentral describes it as "partial 16S ribosomal RNA". It matches the Rfam family "Bacterial small subunit ribosomal RNA", at positions 354 to 796 of the family's 1533-position model. The record is from RNAcentral.